GACUGCAAACGGUGGAUCACUCGGCUCGCAGGUCGAUGAAGAACGCAGCUAGCUGCGUUAAGCGGUGUGAAUUGCAGGACACGCCGAGCACUUGAUUUUCGAACGCAUAUUGCAGCCUAGGGUUUUUCCCUGGGUUUCGUUUGUCUGAGGGUCGGUAUUAAAAACCCAUCGUAAAAGUCUGUUCAGUGACUAACGAUAUAACUAUUGUUAGUUUCGUCAGACAAUUGUUACACUUGUUCGGAGUGAAUACUGCCGUCAGAGUUUCGAGCAAUUAAUCAGCUUGAACACUACAUGUCUCGCUGUGCUCGGUUAACUAACUCAUUGACGACUGUUUGGGUCAGUGUGCAACGCGCACGUCAAACGCUCUCUGACGCAUAGUGUUGUUGUUGUUGUUGUGACUUUGUCGUCGACACAAUACUACUCAAUUGUCGACCUCAGAUCAAGCGAGAUUACCCGCUGAAUUUAAGCAUAUAACUAAGCGGUGGAAAAGAAACCAAAAGGGAUUUCGAUAGUAACGGCGAGCGAAAUCGAAACAGCUCAGCGCCAAGUCCUAUCGUCAUAAGGCGUAUAGGAGAUGCGGCGUGAAUGUAACAAUGCAUCGCAUUUUGUCAUUGCAACGCAAGUUCUUCUGACAAGGACUUUUUCCAUAGCGGGUGCUAGGCCCAUAGCUGUUGCAAGGCAGACGUGCGCAUAUUGUUGCAUGCUAGAGUCAGGUUGCUUGAAAGUGCAGCCCAAAGUAGGUGGUAAACUCCACCUAAAGCUAAAUAUUACUGCGAGACCGAUAGCAAACAAGUACCGUGAGGGAAAGUUGCAAAGAACUUUGAAGAGAGAGUUCAAUAGGACGUGAAACCGUUUGUAGGUAA
This 863-nucleotide unclassified non-coding RNA is filed under the name uncultured soil eukaryote. Its description in RNAcentral is "sequence contains 5.8S rRNA gene, ITS2, 28S rRNA gene". The stretch from base 430 to 863 matches the Rfam family "Eukaryotic large subunit ribosomal RNA", at positions 1 to 418 of the family's 3401-position model. The record is from RNAcentral.